CGACAUCAGACUGAUGUCUAGUCGAGGCCCCGCUGAGGACGAACGGCACACAGCGGAGCUUCGUUUCAAUUCUUUGGUUUGGUCUCGGAUAUUAAAGACGGCGGUGAGAUGUCCGUUCACAGUGAACAGCAGGUGUUCGGCACUACUUCCCAACCAGACGCCUUUUUACCGGCCAUCAUUUCAAUGGAAGUCUACGCCGCUGAAUCCAACUAUUGCACACUCGUCGUACCAUCUGCUUCAGUGUAUACAGUGUUGCAUAUGCCCUACACACCUCCCUAUUACUCAACAUCACAGUGGGAACCUUUAAUUUCACUUUCACCGUGCAGCUAUAUUCCUGUUUCAAGAAGAUGGGGACAGAAAACCUGGCACAGGGGACAGAAAGAGUCCUAGAAGAGAGAAGACCGGGAGCAGGGAGACACACACAAAGGCACUGAGCUGCAGGUGGAUGUGAUGAUGUUUGUCUCAGCAGCACAGAGAGGACAGCACGUACAGAUCAUAGGAUCAUGCUCCCAAGCAGAAAUACAUUUUUUUUCCCGCAUUUGAUCCCCAGAGUGUCCGUCUGAACAGAAUGAACACAUGCAACAGACACAGUUUUUAAGGCUUGCACACAGGCAGCUCGUAGCAUACGAUUAGAUAAGCCUUAUUUGCAUGCCAGUACGUGAUUGGAAAAGCAUUAUUAUUGAGUGAGUGGAAGAGACACAAUGAUCUAGAACUGGCAGUCCGGAAAAAUAAAUGGUUGAGGGAUAAAAAAAAAAAAAAGAGAUGAUGGGCACAGAAAUAGAGUUUGAAUUUUAAACAUUACUUAAUAUUCUCAGUGAGUUACAGUGUGCAGGGAAGAGACAAAGUGGUCAAACUAAUCAACAAGCCCACAUUUAGUUUUCAUUUUUAAUGAUGUCGCACCAUGCUGCUUUUGACAUACGCACCUCGUUGCCAUGGAAGCGGGGACAAUGGCGACGACAGUGGAGCUUGGUUAGAAGUCAUAUUCUGUCAGAGACCGCGGAGAGUAAUGAGCUUGUUGUUUGUUCAGAAGCUAUUCUAACCAGUGAUUGCGUGGCAGUGACAGAAUUUCGUGUCUGAAAUAAAAAUACAAACUCAAGUGAGUUCCAAUUUUGUCAUCUCCUGACAGACAAACAAAGAAAAGGGAAAGUCAUUUGGUGUGCAGAAGAUUCAAUAUGCAGUGCAAAAGCCUUGAUUAACAUUAUAAUACAACUUUUUAACGUCACUUUUGAUGGGCUUUUGGCUCUUACCAGACUUCAAGCAUGAACUCACCUAUAAUAAAAAUGGUAUUAUUGAAAAGCUUACAUUUUUAUCAGAGCAAUCUUUACGGAAAUUAUUUUUCUUCUCAAAAAAUCUCCAUAACGUUGACUUAUCUUAUCCUAGUUUUGUCUCAUAACUUUUGUACUGUACUAACAUUUUAAGUAUCUAGCAUUUUAACCAAAUUUAUUUUGUAAACCUAAAAACAUGGUUUAUUUUGACAAGAUAUGCCUGUAACAGGCGGCAAUAUGAAAGUUUGAGUAGGGCCACAAAGUGUCAGUUUUCAAAGGUUGAGUGAGAAUUUGUUGAUCUGUGGAUUUAAUGUAUUUUCAUUUUAAACCAGCGUCCGUUAACGGUUUGAAUGCUAAAAAAUGAAUAACAAAGGCAUUUAAUUUCAUCAAUUUCAGUCCCUUAAAAAUAUAUACAAUACUUUUUAUACAUACACAAAACAUUUUACUGAGAAUGAUUUUUGUAUUUACUUGUAUUGCUUGGUGGUUUGAGGAAGACCACUUUGAAAAAUGUAAACCCAGUCUUUUAUCAGGAACAACAUUCUUUUAUAUUGAAAAGAGAGCAGAUGCAAGUGACAGCAGCCAGAAACAGAUGGAGGGAAACUAUCGCUUUCUUCUUCGAGUGUUCCGUACCCGAUGAUCCCUCGGAUUGACCCUUUGCUGUGAUGCAAUGGCUGACUGCUGGAAACGCCAGAGGAAAUAUGAGCUGUAUAUUCAGCGGAGUGAUGGAUACAUGCACCACUGCACCGCUGUGUUCUUGGUUAACAGGUUUACUGUGUUCUCACAGGGUAAUCCCACUCUGACUCGGGUUACUAUGGAACACUUUGACGUCCACCACUGUGUGUGAAUGUGUGUGUGUGGGUUUACUACAAAUUCAUACAAACAGUUGUGUUAAUCUCCAGUUUUGUUAAUUCUCUAAAGACGUCCAAAAGAACACAUUAUGAGUAUGUGCUUUUAUCAUAAGUACAGGGAUAUUUUGGGAAGAUUUGUGAGCACACGUCAAACUCAUCAGUGCCUUCUUGAGACUCUGUACGCCGUGCUUUAUCCUUUGUGAGAUGCAUGUAAUGGUAAAAUAUGUUAUAACAUUGUCUUGUGUCUCAAGUGUCUGUAUUUGACCCUGAACAAAACUUUUAAUUGGCAGCUGUGUCCUGAGAAGGGAGGGUGGUCAACUCGAUCUCAUAGAUGCUCCAUCAAAGGGAAUUCUGUUCAUGGCCUUGCUUCAUAUCUUAUUUGGUAUGAAAGUUUUCAUAUACGUGUUUCUACUUUUUGUCUAUUAAUUCUAAUUUGCACCUGCCACUGAGGAUGACCUUGUUGUGUA
Long non-coding RNA from Gasterosteus aculeatus aculeatus (three-spined stickleback), 2580 nucleotides. NCBI's taxonomy places the organism in Eukaryota, Metazoa, Chordata, Actinopteri, Perciformes, Gasterosteidae. The record is from Ensembl.